This 1536-nucleotide unclassified non-coding RNA is filed under the name Hevea brasiliensis (rubber tree). Lineage: Eukaryota; Viridiplantae; Streptophyta; Magnoliopsida; Malpighiales; Euphorbiaceae. The record is from RNAcentral.
AAGAGAAAUUGUCUAGAAGAGAGGAAGUUGCCCCCAGAAGUCCAAAGCAAAGAUGAGGAAAAAAAAAAAAGCCCUUCAGACCAGUUAUACCUCCAUUUAGGGGUCUGUAGCCCAUUUUAGCAAAUUGUAACUUUGGGUUUUGGAAGUUGGUGGUGGACCCUCUUGGCUGACCACCACAAGCAAGGGAUAAAGAGUAGUAAAGUGUGAGGCUUUCGUUUUUUGUGCGGUUGAAAACAAAACAGCAGGUCACAGAAAGAGUACGCCUACAAAAGAACCCAGAGCGGAAGUAGCAUUACCAAUCUUUGAAGCCUCAUUUCCAAUCCGAUGGCAGCUCCCGUUAAGGUGUACGGACCUACAUUAUCAACUGCAGUUUCCAGAGUCUUAGCUUGUCUCAUUGAGAAAGAUGUGGAUUUUCAGCUCAUUCCCAUCAACAUGUCCAAAGGAGAACACAAGAAGCCUGAUUUCAUCAAGAUGCAGGUGCUCUCUAUGAAAAGCAUAUUAUUUUCCUUUCUUACCAUUCUUUUGAUUCUUGUCUCUCUAACUAACCAAUUCCCCAAUUUGAAUCUAAUAGCCCUUUGGCCAAGUACCAGCUUUCCAAGAUGAGAGCAUCUCCCUCUUCGGUAAAUACUUUCUUCUUGUUAAAUAUAAGCCAUCAAGUCUAAAUAUAAUAUUUGUCCUCAUCACCCCUUAGUCUGUGCUUUUGGGUAAAAUAUUAUUUCUCACAUGAAAUUUGAGUCAUCUUUACACUUCACCACCAAUUAGCUUCUUUUGAUUUGAAUUGAGGAAUGCAACGUAUAUGUGUUUUUGAUUGGUUCCACUUCCAGAGUCAAGAGCAAUAUGUCGCUACAUAUGUGACAAGUAUGCAGACAAAGGAAACAAAGAAUUAUAUGGGACAAACCCACUGGCAAAAGCAUCAAUAGAUCAGUGGCUAGAGGCUGAGGGGCAGAGCUUUAACCCACCAAGCGGAGCUUUGGUGUUUCAGCUUGCAUUUGCACCUAGAAUGAAGAUCCCGCAAGACGAAGGCCUAAUCAAGCAGAACCAGGAGAAGCUAGGAAAAGUGCUCGACGUUUACGAGAAGAGGCUUGGGGAGAGUCGUUUCUUGGCAGGAGAUGAAUUCUCUUUGGCUGAUCUCUCACACUUGCCUAACACCCAAUACUUGGUGGCUGGAACUGAUAGAGGAGAACUCUUCACUUCCAGAAAGAAUGUGGGGAGAUGGUGGAGUGAGAUUUCUAGCAGGGAAUCGUGGAAGAAGGUGGUCCAGAUGCAGAAAAGUGGUUGAAAUUGGUCUCUCUGCAUCAUUUUGAAAUUUGUCUUUCGCUUUAUGGGUCUCAGAAUUUUGUUUGAGCUUGAGUUUUUCUUCUUUUAGCUGAGCAUUUUCAAUCUUCAUCGUUGGCUGCUCCGCCUUGUCCACUUGACUGUGUUUUAAGUUUGUUCAAUAAAACUCAUAGCGUCUCUGGCCUCAAGAGACCUUCUGAUCGGUGAUGAACUUCUAACAAAUCCAGGAAAAUAAAUUCCCUUUUUUUUUUUGUCUGAAAA